CCCUUAGAUGUUCUGGGCCGCACGCGCGCUACACUGAUGCAUUCAACGAGUCUAAAACCUGCUCUGAUAGGGGUGGUAAUCUUUUGAAUGUGCAUCGUGAUUGGGAUAGAUGAUUGCAAUUUUUCAUCUUCAACGAGGAAUGCCUAGUAAACGCAAGUCAUCAGCUUGCAUUGAUUACGUCCCUGCCCUUUGUACACACCGCCCGUCGCUCCUACCGAUUGAAUGAUCCGAUGAAUAUCAUGGAUUGAGGAUGCAAGUAGGUUAGCCUAUCUUCAUCUUCGAGAAGUGAAGUAAAUCUUAUCAUUUAGAGGAAGGAGAAGUCGUAACA
RNAcentral lists this ribosomal RNA (328 nucleotides) under uncultured eukaryote. RNAcentral describes it as "partial 18S ribosomal RNA". It matches the Rfam family "Eukaryotic small subunit ribosomal RNA", at positions 1470 to 1796 of the family's 1831-position model. The record is from RNAcentral.